Molecule: long non-coding RNA, 2248 nt
Organism: Hemicordylus capensis (graceful crag lizard)
Lineage: Eukaryota; Metazoa; Chordata; Lepidosauria; Squamata; Cordylidae
Exons: 2
Source: RefSeq, a predicted model, not a curated record
UGGAACAAUUACGAAGACACUGGAUUGUAAAGACACUUUCCCAUUCCAUGAGAACAAAGUAAUUACAAAGCAGCUUUCAGAAAAGGCAUUUCCCCCUCAUUCCACAAGCCUACUUUUUAAAAUGGUUGUGAUGACUAAGAGAGCCAGUGCAGUGUAGUAGUUAGAGCAGGGCUGUGCAGCUUUGGCCAUCCAGCCAUUUUUGGACUACAGCUCCCAGCAUCCCCAGCCACAGGGGCCAAUAGUCAGGGAUGAUGGGAACUGUAGGCCAAUAUCUGCAGGAAGGCCAAAGUUCUGCAGCCCAGGUUUAGAGCAUUGAACUAGGACUGGGGAGACCCAAGUUCAUAUCCCUGUUCUGCUAUGAAACUCACUGGGUGACUCUGGGCCAGUCACUUAUCUCAGUCUAGCCUACCUCCCAGGAUUGUUGUGAGGAUAAACACAAUGAUGCAGACUGCUCAGGGCUCCUUGCAGGAAGAGCGGAAUAUAAAUACAGCAUGUAAAUAAAUAAAUAAAAUAAAAUAAUAUUCCCAAAGCAUUUAGGGAAAGUGCUAUGUAAAGACUAAGCAUUAGAAAUUCUUUCCUCUGUCAAAUGCUGGAGGGCAUAGUAGGUUCCCAUUAUGAUGCAACAUAUUGCAGUGCAAUUCUUAUUCCUUAUUCUACUAUCAUCUCAUUCGUUCUGUGUGAGUUUCGUAUGACAAUGGUAAUUACGGCUGUGGUAGGAAGCUGGAAUGUUUAGUAUCUGGUGGAUUGUUUUCUUGGCUCGGCCUGUUGAACAGUCAAUGGCAACUUUGGGAUAACUAGCACACCACAAGCGAGGCAAACAGAAGUCCACAGUAGGUGUUGUGGAAACAGUGUGUUCUUUGUGGUGGUGUCUCGGUGCCCUCUCUCUUCUUGCAGGAAAGCAAACACUCCGGGAGAGCUCUGUCAGGCCCUGCCUGAGAGAGAGACAGCCAGGGUGAAGAAAUGACUCACAGACUAUUUUUCAGCUACGUCUGCUGGCUGCAGGAAGGGGUGGCAAGUGGGACCACUGAAGGUGUUUUGCCCGAGGGCCUCUCAAACCCCGGAACUGAUGCUGCAAGCAAGUGAUACGUGCCACGUGCAGGACAGCUGUUUCCUGUUAAAAGAGACAACUACCACCUGCAUUUCUGCCCUUUAAAACAUUUUAUGAUCCAUUUCCUUCUCCCAGCCAACCGCAGAAUAUUUAGCAAGAUGUCUUCUUGAUUUCUAGAUCCUGUGUUUUCCCUGGCAGCCCUCUCUGUAAUUUUCUAUCUUUAGUUUUGGAUUUCAAGUGGUGGUUGGGUUGUUUACCCAACAAUAUCUCUGGAUUCCUGGAGGGAGGAGGCUGAAAUUAGGAAGCAUAAAUUAUCUGGCUAAGUGUACAUUAUAAACUGCAUGCUGCCAGCUAGUCCUUUAGAGGAGAGUUCUACUACUACCAGGGAAAGAAUAAAUAAUAGGCUUUCACCCACUACUAGCUUCAGUAGUUCUCAGAGCUAGCAGGUGAACUCAUUGACAUCAGGGACUCAUCCUCAAGCCGAAACACGCAUUACUGUUUAUUGCAGCAAUUGCCAAACCACAUGCCUUGAGAGGUAAAUUAAUACAUAACAUGGAAUAAUGAAAUAAUUAAAGGCUCAGGGAAGCCAGAGGCAAAAGGCAAGGGGCAGGGUGUCCUCACCUGUUUGUUCUGUUACUUCCCCCUUUCUUCUGUAUCUUUUAAAUAUAACAAUUGACAGAUCUUACUGAUAUUUGUGGGGAGAUGGUAUCCAGUUGGCCUUAACACUUGCAAUUAAGUGACAAAAUAAAUUUUUUAGUGCUUUUGGCAUCAUGGUGAACAAAGCUGCUCAAAAUACACAUCUGUUUUCAUGUGUACAGAAGAAUGAUGAUGCCAUCAAGCCAACCCCUAAACACAUGCGAUUACCAUAUAACUCCCAUCAACUCUGGUUUAUUUAAAACAAGAGACUACAAGCAGAGCUCUUCCAACCAUCUGGUGCCAUCUAGUGAAGUGUGGGGAAACUGCAAAAAUAUAUAAUGAAUACGCAAACUUGUCUAGCUUGUCUUUUCCUCCCAUGAGCGGCCUGGCCGGGCAAUCCCACCUCUAGCAGACUUCUCACUCACUCCCUACUACUUUUGACUUACGGCAAUAGUCUUGAAAUGUUUGUUGAUCCUAUCAGUUUCCUUUAAAUAGAUUGAUUUCAUGGCUGAAAGCUCCCCAAACAAUACCUCAGGCAAUAAGAAUAAAGUUUUCAAGAGCUGA